CGCUGGCAGCCCUGCCUCAAACGAGCUGUCGGCGAACCCCUCUCAGCUAAACCGCGAAGCUGAUCUGCCAAUCGCGAAUAUGACAGAACGAGAACGUGGGACAAUGACUAAUCCGAUUUUGACGAGAUCAAUGGUGAACAGUGGCAAAUCGUGCAACCAAUAAUUGAAAUCGAAUCCCAGCUCUCAUUUGUGAAACUUUUCUCUUGUUUUCGAACAUUUAUUACUGCAUCUCAUUCACUAAUUGUAAGUGCUAAUGAAUUCGGAACCCAAAUUGUUAAAAUCCUACUUAAAAUUACUUAAAAUUACAGUUUCCUGAAGGGGUUAAAACUUAAGGUCUAAAGUUGAUCUCUAAAACAACAUUUCUUCCUAAAAGUAAGAUAUUAUAACAUGCAAUUGAACUAUCAUAUCGCUAUUAUUAAGUUUACAUCACGAUUUAUAGUUGGAGUCAGGCUAGCUGAAUCGGGUCGAGCAGUGGUUAUUUAAUCGCGCACAAACACUGAAUGUGUAAGUAGGCAUGCAUAUGUAACCUCAAACAUGUUAUAACUACAUCAUAAACUCAAUACAUUUCAGUUUAAAGCUGUACUGCACCAACAGUCGUGUUUUUUGUGCUGCUAAGAACGCAGUGUCUCGUGCCUAUCUCUGCUCCCCGUCAACAGAGCUUUAAAACAUUCAACACGAUGAGUGCUAACUCAAAGGACAAGUCGCCGGAGGCCGGACGAGAGGUAGGAUGCGUUCAUUGCUCGCGGCCCGAUUCGUUCGACAAUUUCGUACAGUGCGACCAGUGUGAUGGCUGGUGGCACAUGCGCUGUGCUGGAGUUACAAACUCCGUUUCGGAGCGGCCGUGGACUUGUUCUACCUGUUUGCCAUUGAGUGUUUCCUCGUCUAGCAGCAACGCUGCUCGUAUAGCCCUACGGCUGAAGAGAAUCGAAGAGGAGCGCGCGAUCCAGCGCCGCGAAUGGGAGGCAGAGAAAAGAGCCUUCGAACUGGAGAAAAAGGCCUUCGAACACGAGAAAAAGGUCGUGCAGGAAAAGUAUAGACUGCUGGAAGAGCAGCUAGCGGAACGAGUGGAUGGAUCUAGACGGAGCCAAGUAAGCCGGCGCUCAAGCAUGCGGCGAGUUAGUUCCUGGGUUGAAAAUCUUUCCACGAAUCCGGAAUUGGAAGGCGCCGUUGGAGGAGCGGUCCCUCGGAAGCUCGAAGCAGAGGGCGCCGUUGAUCGAACGGCCCAGGGAAAAAAAUUGGCAGAAGCUCGACGAAGUGAAUCGUACGGUGUAUCAGCAGGCAACGAGGUCUCACCCGAAUGCCAUAAGCCACCGAACGAAGGACAACAGCAGCAGGAAUCGAAUGCGAAUCCAGCGCCCCAGUCGGCGCGGUUGGAUGCCCAGGAUGGACGAUUGCAGCUCAACGGGAAUCAGCAGCGGAACACGGGCGCGUUUCCUAAAACGAUUCCGAACAGUCUAAAUCCAAAUUUCAAUGGUCGUACGAACCCGACCGAUGGUAACGUAUUUGCCUCUGCGCCCUUUGUAAUGCCACCAGGUAAGCUACCAACCAGUAAUAAAACCCAUGCCAAUAUAUCCGCUCAAACGAGCGACGACCCGUACGGAAGUCUUCUAGCCAGACUAGGGUCUUUUAGUGUGUCUCCCAACAAUGUGAGUCCACAGCCACCUUUUGUGACCGAGUCUGUCAUAAGAGACCAUGUCACCCCUAUCGUUUCUCUCCCCCCACCAAUCACGGAGAGAAACGAAAAUAUGCUAGGGCAAACAGUCAAUACAGAUUAUGUUAAUAACAGUCAAUCAAGUGCGCCGUUCCCUCGUACGACAGUUAAUGUGCCUGACCAUGUGCCUUCCCCCUCGCAGUUAGCCGCGCGCCAAGUUAUGCCUCGCGAUUUACCCCCGUUCUCCGGUGAUCCCGCGGACUGGCCGAUAUUUAUAAGUGCAUUCGAAAAUACAACCGUCGCGUGUGGAUACUCGAGAGUGGAAAAUCUAGCAAGACUGCAGCGUUGUUUAAAAGGUGCCGCGUAUGAAUCGGUUAGAAGUCGUCUUCUUCUACCAGAAUCAGUGCCGCAGGUUAUCAGUACGUUACGACUCCUAUACGGACGACCGGAGCUGCUAAUCAGCGUAUUGCUGGACAAGGUGCGGUCAACUCCAGCGCCAAGGGCCGAGAAGCUGGAGACGCUAAUUGAGUUCGGUAUGGCCGUACAAAGUUUGUGCGACCAUCUAGUAGCAGCUGGUCAACAAUCUCACCUGACGAGUCCUUACCUGUUGAUGGAGCUUGUAGAGAAACUUCCUGCUCACGUGAAGAUGGAAUGGGCGAGUUAUAUGCAGCGCUUCCCAGACGUGAACCUGAAAACGUUUGGGGACUUUAUGAGUACAAUGGUGAUCUCGGCAAGCAAGGUGACAUUGUACACAGGCGCGAGCUGCACAAGUACAACGGACAGAUCAAAACCAAAACCCAGAGGAUCAGUCAAUACCCACAUCAGUGAGCCGGAAAUUCACAUACCAAGCCAGUGCUGUGUGUGCAAAGAACUCGGACAUUUUGUCCGGGAAUGUGAUACGUUCAAUGCGCUCUCUGUUGACGAACGCUGGAAAGCUGUUCAAACUCAUGAGCUCUGCCGCAAUUGUUUGAACGCUCACGGAACAAGAAAUUGUCGGAAUGCCAGGCAAUGUGGAAUCAACGGAUGUACGUACCGACAUCAUCGCCUACUGCAUUCAAACCGCAGUAAUCGAACUACGAAUCCAGCACGUAACAUGGAUUCGGCUGGAAACCAUACGCAUCGUUUAGACAAUCAAUCCCUACUCUUUCGUAUUUUGCCCGUAACACUUCAUGGACCCUCGAAGAAAAUAAAGACGUACGCCUUCCUCGAUGACGGGUCGCACCUUACACUCAUCGAAGAUCAACUUGCAAAGGACCUCGGAGUAGAAGGUAGAACUAUUCCGCUCUGCCUGACCUGGACAGGAGAUGUCUCGCGAUUGGAACCAAAUUCGAAGCAGAUACAACUGGGAGUUUCCGGGGCCGAUGGUAGGAGCCAACAGAAGUUAAGUGACGUCCGCACCGUGAAAAAACUCGCGCUUCCUGGUCAAACGCUACGAAUGGAAGACCUUGGAAGCACCUUCAAUCACCUAAAGGGUCUGCCUAUAUCUGGGUACGAAGACGCAGUGCCCCGUUUAUUGAUAGGAGUCAACAACUUGCACCUCACCGUUCCGUUAAAAGUGAAAGAAGGACGUGUUAGCGAACCUGUCGCUGUAAAAACCCGUCUUGGCUGGUGCGUAUAUGGAGGAAGCAGUAAUCGGUUAUCUACUUCACUGAACAUUCACGCGUGCCAGUGUAGUAACGACGGGGACUUGCACGAGUUGGUGAAGAGCUAUUUCACUCUAGAUGACGUCGGAAUGAGUUCAACCAAAGUAUUCAUGUCCGCGGAAGAUAAAAGAGCGCAACAAAUUCUUCAAGAAACAACCGUACGAAUUGGCGAAAGAUAUGAAACUGGACUGUUAUGGAAGCACGAUGAAGUCGAGUUUCCCGAUAGCUAUGGGAUGGCGAUGCGAAGAUUGGAAUGCCUGGAGCGUCGAAUGAGUAAGAAUCUCUCUCUGAAGGAAAGCUUGAGUCGUCAAAUAGAGGAGUAUCAGCAGAAGGGUUAUGCACAUCGAGUCAGUGGUGAAGAGAUGAAGCAAACGGAUCUCAAGCGGGUCUGGUAUCUGCCGCUCGGAGCGGUGGUAAAUCCGAAGAAACCAGAAAAGGUGCGGCUAAUUUGGGAUGCGGCAGCGGUGGUGGACGGGAUCUCUCUAAACGCAAUGCUCUUGAAGGGUCCAGAUCAGUUAGCAUCGUUAGUAGGAGUAUUAUUCCGGUUUCGUCAGUACAAUGUGGCGGUAUCGGCCGAUAUAAGAGAGAUGUUCCACCAAAUAAGAAUCAGAGCAACCGAUCGACACUCUCAACGAUUUCUGUGGCGAGAUGAUCCAUCUAUGCCGGCUGAGAUUUUCGUUAUGGACGUCGCAACAUUUGGAUCUACUUGCUCGCCAGCAUCAGCCCAGUACGUCAAGAAUCUGAAUGCGGCGGAGUAUGCGGAGAAGCACCCGAAGGCUGUAGGCGAUAUUGUCAACAACACAUACGUGGAUGACUACUUGGCGAGCUUUGAAAGCAAAACCGAAGCAACUGAUGUUGCGGUACAAGUUCGAGACAUCCAACAAGAAGGAGGAUUCUCACUACGAAACUGGCAGUCUAAUAGCGUCGAAGUAACUCAAGCUCUAGGCGAACCUUCGGCGACAAGCGGAAUGCAUUCGUUUCAAGACAAAAGCCAGGCGUAUGAGCGCAUAUUGGGCAUGCUCUGGCUCACUGAUGAAGAUGUGUUAAGCUUUAGCACACAGCUGAAGGACGACGUGCAGCAAAUCGUCUAUGGUGACUCAAAUCCAACAAAAAGACAAGUGCUUCGGUGUUUAAUGAGUUUCUUUGAUCCUUUGGGAUUGUUGGGCUUCCUCCUAGUGCACGGUAAAAUACUACUGCAGGAUAUCUGGCGAGCGGGUACCCAGUGGGAUCAGGAGGUUGAAGAAGAACACCGGAAUCGCUGGAGGGAUUGGAUUUCGCUGCUGCAGCAGAUUUCGACGAUCAAACUGCCCAGAUGCUAUUUUCUUGGGGCUACACGGUUACACUAUCAGCGAUUGCAGUUACACAUAUUUGUGGACGCCAGCGAAACCGCUUAUGCUGCCGUAGCGUACUUCCGGAUCGUCGAUCUAGAUGGAAUGGUUCGAUGUGCAUUGGUAUCAGCAAAAACUAAAGUGGCACCACUAAAGCCGCUGUCCAUACCUCGGUUAGAGUUACAGGCGGCUGUUCUCGGAACUCGCUUGAUGCGUUUCGUCGAGGAAUCCCACACUCUGGUGAUAACGCAACGAUAUUUUUGGUCAGACUCCUCCACCGUUCUGGCAUGGCUCAAAGCGGAUCCCAGGAAAUACAAGCAAUACGUGGCCUGUCGGAUCGGCGAAAUUCUAUCUGUCACCGAAGUAAACGAGUGGAAGUGGGUUCCUACGAAAUUGAAUCCUGCAGAUUUAGCAACGAAAUGGGGAAGUGGCCCUUCGCUGGACGCCAAAAGUGUAUGGUUUACUGGACCAUAUUUUCUGCAGAAACCUUUCGAAGAAUGGCCCAAACAGAAUACACUUCAACGGACUGUUGAUGUGGAAUUGCGUACAUGUAAUGUACACACCGAGGCUACAGUACGGUUACCAGUGAUCAAUUAUGCUCGGUUUUCAAAAUGGGAGAGGCUGCAUCGAGCUACAGCCUACGUACACAGGUACGUGGGAAACCUAAAACGGAAAUCUCUUGGUGUUGUGCGGAGUAGCGGAUAUCUCACUCAAGCGGAGCUUCAACUGGCCGAAAUAACGUUGAUCACGGGAUCCCAGUGGCAGGAAUAUCCAUCAGAGAUGGUAGUACUCCAGCGUAACCGAAGUCGUCCAGAAACGGAGAGAGAGUGUCUGAGCAGGCAAAGCGCAUUGUAUCAGUUGACACCCUUUGUCGAUGAAGAAGGUGUAUUACGGAUAGAUGGUAGAAUCGGAGCUGCGAAGGACGUCUGCAUCAACACGAAGUUUCCAGCUAUUCUUCCAAGAAAACAUCGGAUAUGCGAGCUCAUCGUGGACCUGUUUCAUCGGAAGUACCAGCAUGCGAAUUCGGAAACCGUGGUGAACGAGAUUCGGCAGCAGUAUUAUAUUCCACGCCUGAGGUCGCUAGUUCGGAAGGUUGUCAACGGAUGCCCAGUGUGCAAAGCACGUAAAGCGGUUCCACAUGUACCUCGCAUGGCUUCACUUCCACCAGCUCGCUUGGCAUCCUUCGCCAGGCCCUUCACAUACGUUGGCCUGGACUAUUUUGGGCCAUUGGUGGUUAAAGUAGGUCGUGGUAAUGCGAAAAGGUGGAUAGCGCUUUUUACCUGCCUUACCAUUCGCGCUGUACAUUGCGAGGUAGUGUGUAGCCUAUCCACAGACGCCUGUAUCAAAGCUAUACGUCGCUUCGUAUGCCGUCGCGGUGCGCCAGCAGAAAUAUAUUCUGAUAACGGCACCAACUUCCAGGGUGUCGAACGGAUUUUGAUGAAGGAGAUACAACUUGGUGUAGCCGCAACUAUUACCAGCACCACGACCAAAUGGUUCUUCAUUCCUCCUGCCUCCCCCCACAUGGGAGGGGCAUGGGAACGUAUGGUUCGUUCGAUUAAGCAGGCCAUGAUGGGAGCGUAUCGCUGUGACAGAAAACUGGACGAUGAAUCCCUGCUUACUUUCGUCAUCGAGGCAGAGAACAUCGUAAACAGCAGGCCAUUGACUUAUCUUCCCUUGGAUUCGGCGGAGAGUGAGGCGUUAACGCCGAACCAUUUUCUGUUGGGGAGUUCUUCUGGAGUACGGCAGCCUGGUGUUGACCCUAACGCUGACACGGUAGCGCUAAGAAAUUCUUUGAACCUGAUUAAACUUCAGCUGGAUCGCUUCUGGACUCGGUGGAUUAAAGAAAUGCUGCCAACGUUAACCAGGAGGACUAAAUGGUUCGGUGAGGAAAAGAUGAUAGCAGUAGGAGACCUGGUGUUAAUUGUUGAUGACGGGAACCGAAACAACUGGACUAGAGGACGAGUGCAAGAGGUCAUACCAGGAAGUGACGGCCGGGUUCGCCAGGCUUUAGUAAAAACUGCGAGGGGAUGUCUGCGUAGACCUGUGGCUAAACUAGCAAUCCUCGAUAUAUUGGAUGGUAGUAAGACUGGCACUGGUGGCCAGCAUUACGGGGGGGAGGAUGUUGCCGCUGGCAGCCCUGCCUCAAACGAGCUGUCGGCGAACCCCUCUCAGCUAAACCGCGAAGCUGAUCUGCCAAUCGCGAAUAUGACAGAACGAGAACGUGGGACAAUGACUAAUCCGAUUUUGACGAGAUCAAUGGUGAACAGUGGCAAAUCGUGCAACCAAUAAUUGAAAUCGAAUCCCAGCUCUCAUUUGUGAAACUUUUCUCUUGUUUUCGAACAUUUAUUACUGCAUCUCAUUCACUAAUUUUUCCUGAAGGGGUUAAAACUUAAGGUCUAAAGUUGAUCUCUAAAACAACAUUUCUUCCUAAAAGUAAGAUAUUAUAACAUGCAAUUGAACUAUCAUAUCGCUAUUAUUAAGUUUACAUCACGAUUUAUAGUUGGAGUCAGGCUAGCUGAAUCGGGUCGAGCAGUGGUUAUUUAAUCGCGCACAAACACUGAAUGUGUAAGUAGGCAUGCAUAUGUAACCUCAAACAUGUUAUAACUACAUCAUAAACUCAAUACAUUUCAGUUUAAAGCUGUACUGCACCAACAGUCGUGUUUUUUGUGCUGCUAAGAACGCAGUGUCUCGUGCCUAUCUCUGCUCCCCGU
RNA transcript from Aedes albopictus (Asian tiger mosquito), 7333 nucleotides. RefSeq lists it as uncharacterized. The record is from RefSeq and is a predicted model, not a curated record. The transcript is spliced from 2 exons. NCBI's taxonomy places the organism in Eukaryota, Metazoa, Arthropoda, Insecta, Diptera, Culicidae.